RNAcentral lists this ribosomal RNA (429 nucleotides) under Chloroflexota bacterium. Its description in RNAcentral is "Chloroflexi bacterium partial 16S ribosomal RNA". It matches the Rfam family "Bacterial small subunit ribosomal RNA", at positions 355 to 776 of the family's 1533-position model. Lineage: Bacteria; Bacillati; Chloroflexota. The record is from RNAcentral.
UGGGGAAUAUUGCACAAUGGGCGCAAGCCUGAUGCAGCCAUGCCGCGUGUAUGAAGAAGGCCUUCGGGUUGUAAAGCACUUUCAGCGGGGAGGAAGGCGUUAAGGUUAAUAACCUUGGCGAUUGACGUUACCCGCAGAAGAAGCACCGGCUAACUCCGUGCCAGCAGCCGCGGUAAUACGGAGGGUGCAAGCGUUAAUCGGAAUUACUGGGCGUAAAGCGCACGCAGGCGGUUUGUUAAGUCAGAUGUGAAAUCCUCGGGCUCAACCUGGGAACUGCAUCUGAUACUGGCAAGCUUGAGUCUCGUAGAGGGGGGUAGAAUUCCAGGUGUAGCGGUGAAAUGCGUAGAGAUCUGGAGGAAUACCGGUGGCGAAGGCGGCCCCCUGGACGAAGACUGACGCUCAGGUGCGAAAGCGUGGGGAGCAAACAGG